Molecule: ribosomal RNA, 117 nt
Filed under: Candidatus Woesebacteria bacterium RIFCSPLOWO2_01_FULL_39_10
Lineage: Bacteria; Candidatus Woeseibacteriota
Source: RNAcentral
UCCGGUCUCGAUAGCGGAGUGGUACAACCUGAUCCCAUUCCGAACUCAGAAGUUAAACGCUCCUGCGCCGACGAUAGUAUACCGGCAACGGUAUGCGAACAUAGGUCAAGGCCGGAA